AUAAAAGCUGGGAUAGGGACAGUACGUUUCUACUUUUUAUCCUAUAUAGCGAGCCGGGGAUGGUGGAAGCCCGGUAAGGAGAUAGAUGCGGAAGAUCACCCUUGAGCUCCAUGCAUGAAAUUAUCCAUCGAACCGGGAUAACUAGUGUUUGGCGUUUAUUCACGUUACGAAUGAAACGAGUGAAAAUAUCCCGUUGGAUAUUUUUAUGAGGGUGGUACCGCGGGAAAGCUUUCUCGUCCCUUUU
Molecule: non-coding RNA, 244 nt
Filed under: [Bacillus] enclensis
Lineage: Bacteria; Bacillati; Bacillota; Bacilli; Caryophanales; Bacillaceae
Description: Bacillus enclensis T-box sequence
Rfam family: T-box leader
About the family: Uncharged tRNA acts as the effector for transcription antitermination of genes in the T-box leader family. T-boxes are found upstream of many aminoacyl-tRNA synthetase genes and some amino acid biosynthetic genes usually in Gram-positive bacteria.
Source: RNAcentral